CUGGCCUUCGUGCUCCUCCAACCCAUGUGACGUUACCAAACUGUUGCCUCGGCGGGAUCUCUGCCCCGGGUGCGUCGCAGCCCCCCUGUCCAGGACGCCCGCCGGAGAGCCAACCAAAACUGUUAUUAUAAACCCCCUCGCGGGUUUUUUUAUAAUAUGAGCCUUCUCGGCGCCUCUGGUAGGCGUUUCGAAAAUGAAUCAAAACUUUCAACAACGGAUCUCUUGGUUCUGGCAUCGAUGAAGAACGCAGCGAAAUGCGAUAAGUAAUGUGAAUUGCAGAAUUCAGUGAAUCAUCGAAUCUUUGAACGCACAUUGCGCCCGCCAGUAUUCUGGCGGGCAUGCCUGUCCGAGCGUCAUUUCAACCCUCGAACCCCUCCGGGGGGUCGGCGUUGGGGAUCGGCCCUGCCUUGGCGGUGGCCGUCUCCGAAAUACAGUGGCGGUCUCGCCGCAGCCUCUCCUGCGCAGUAGUUUGCACACUCGCAUCGGGAGCGCGGCGCGUCCACAGCCGUUAAACACCCAACUUCUGAAAUGUGACCUCGGAUCAGAGGAAUGCAGUCCUU
This 560-nucleotide ribosomal RNA is filed under the name Trichoderma harzianum. Its description in RNAcentral is "eukaryotic LSU rRNA". The stretch from base 203 to 356 matches the Rfam family "5.8S ribosomal RNA". Lineage: Eukaryota; Fungi; Ascomycota; Sordariomycetes; Hypocreales; Hypocreaceae. The record is from RNAcentral.